AAGUCGUAACAAGGUAACCGUAGGUGAACCUGCGGUUGGAUCAUUAAAAAUAUUAAUAGCCUCUCAUCGUUUGCAGCUUGCUUGUCACUUGGGAGAAGACGAGCUGUACAAACGGCGGUGAAUGUUGGCAACACAUUUUGUGCACUGUAACGUCUUUGGUGGUUGGGCGGUAUGUUUCAUUGUUUGAAACUUCCGUUCGUCAGCUUGGGUUAUUCCAUAAUCCUCGCCGUGGACACACCACCGCUUGUUUAUUCAACAUCUGCUUUAUUGAAUUGACUGACAUUUUUUGUAUGAAAAUAUAAAAACAACUUUUGGCAACGGAUCUCUUGGUUCUC
Molecule: unclassified non-coding RNA, 335 nt
Filed under: fungal sp.
Lineage: Eukaryota; Fungi
Description: partial internal transcribed spacer region
Rfam family: Eukaryotic small subunit ribosomal RNA (bases 1-46)
Source: RNAcentral